AUGGAGAAAUGGGAGUUUGAAGGUGAUAUCCACCUCUGUCUGCAUUUCUCAUCCACAGAGUCCCGGGGAACAGCCCCAAGAGACCCGAGGGGCAGUCGGCCAUCUCCUAUGACUACUCAGAAGAGGAGCUCAUGGCGAGCAUUGAGCGGGAGUACUGCCGCUAAGCUGGACAAGCAGCCCUGGGCAUCACUGGCCUUGCAGGUGGGGAAGGGUCAACCCCUCUUGGCAUCUGUGCCACAGGCUUCUAGAAGUUUCCACCAAGGUAUGUUCUCAGUCUUCACACUAAGGUUUCUCCAGAGCGAUGCAGUUUCCUCCGUGUAUGUCAGUUUCCAAGUAUCCGGAUGGCAGGCAGAUGAUGAGUGUGUAGGUCUAGAUGGGUCCAGAGAUUGUAUUUCUGACAGCUUCGAGGUAAUGGCAAGCUGCAAGGACUGAAGAGCUUCAGCGUGUACAAGGGACUCAGAGCCUUAGCUUCUCCCUUCUGUGUGCUGGGGGCUCCUCCAAGCCACAGUGUAGCAGUCUCCCCUGCUUGGAUGUAGCAGGAAGAGAGAGGGCUGGGAACCACAGACUUCUUUGGCAUCCUGGUAUUACAUUAGCUUGCUACCAUUUCCCUCUCUGGGCCUCUCAGUUUCUCUCUUGGGGAGAAUCCUGGAGGUUCUUUGAGGUCUUUCAAGCUCUAUUAGUUUGGCAGCUAGACAAACUGAGGGUUUGUGUCAGAAAAGGGGGUAGAGAAUAGGGAAACAACGGCAACUUUUGCUAAGGUCAAAACAGGUCUCGGUUUAUGUUGCAUCCCCGGACCAAGACAGUGGCCUUCAUCAGCAUCUUCCCUCUCCUGAGAACAGCUGCCAGUCCAUGAAUCCUCAGAACACAACCUAGAGUAUCUCAGGAACCAAGGAAGAAUGGUCACUGAGACCGUCCCCACACCCUCGGUCCUUUGCUGUCACCUGCAAAUGAUUCCAUGAACUCGUGACUUGACAAGAGUACCUUUGAGUACUUGGCUGAGAGACUGCAACAGUUGGAGCCCAGAGCCAUGGAGUGUCUACCAAACGGCUGAGGGUCGGGUCAAAACCUCCCAGAGCUAGCAACUGUAUCUUACUGGAGCCCAAAGGACUGCUUUUGCUAUGAAAAUGAAGCUGUUUCUAUUUUGAUAACACAAAUAUUAAAAAUGCUUAUUUUAAAAAAGGUU
RNAcentral lists this long non-coding RNA (1183 nucleotides) under Mus spicilegus (steppe mouse). RNAcentral describes it as "lncRNA (ENSMSIG00000025933.1)". Lineage: Eukaryota; Metazoa; Chordata; Mammalia; Rodentia; Muridae. The record is from RNAcentral.